Calypte anna (Anna's hummingbird) is the source of this 11688-nucleotide RNA transcript. It is a transcript of the gene named SON DNA binding protein, with no coding region annotated. The record is from RefSeq and is a predicted model, not a curated record. The transcript is spliced from 11 exons. Lineage: Eukaryota; Metazoa; Chordata; Aves; Apodiformes; Trochilidae.
GGUGGGUAGCAAAGCCUUGGAAGCAAGUCAAGGUUUUACUGCCUUAGAAGAAAGGUCAGAAAGGACUCCUGAAUCUGUGGUUGCACGUGUAGGCAUGGAACCAGUUAGACCAUCGGAGGCAUUAGCAGGAAUGAUGCAUUUGAAAUCCACAGCAGAGAGAGAACCAAAGCAUGCAGAACCUCUUGGUGGCAAGCAAAGCAAACUUGUUGGGAGUUUGAGGGGGCUGCAAAUGUGAGAGGUGUGAAAGUGAGUUCACAAAUGUCACACUUACCACAGAUGAAGAAUUUGGAAAUGAUUUUGGGAUCUGAAACAAGGACACUAAGGCAUUCUGAACUUGCUUCAGAAGAUCCAAACCAGUCAAAGGCAAUAAGCAAAGAAACAGUACUAGCAGCUGUGCAGACUUUGGAAGCAAGUUCAGAACCUGUACAGGAACAAGUACUAGGGCAUUCAGUAGCAGUAUUAGAGUCACUGCCCAGAGGGGAAGAAAAAACUAUGGACUCAGAAAUAUUGACAGAAGGGAGGAACUUGAAAGGAGCUUUAGAAUCUAAGAUUUUGACAGAUGUGAGAACUCAGGGACCUACUGUAGAAUAUAUAAUUGCAACAAAGAGGACAAGCACACAAAGAAAUGAGCCCUCACUUAUAAAAGAAAAAUUGGAAGCAGCUUCAGAAACAGAGGAAGCAGUGGAAGCAAGAGACUUGGAGCCAGCAUCAGAAGCUAGAGAUGUGGGGUUGUUGCACAGUAUGAAAGAGCCUGAAGCAGUAGAAGUGAAAGGUUCUGUGCACAUGGUUAUUCAAGGCUUGGAAACUUCCCAGAAGUCUGUAAAUGUGGGAGCUAUAAAUGUUUUGGAGUGUGCUUCAGAAGCCAUUCCAGAAUCUCUGCACACUGAAAACCAAGAACAUCUGCAAGCAGUUCUAGAAGCAAAACCUGCUGCAGGAUGGAAGAGUACAGAAGAGGCUUCACAAAUCUUGAGUGCUGCUGAGACUGUAUCUACUGAAGCAGUUCCAAAACCAGGGGACACAAAAGAUCUGGGACAAACAGUGGACCAUGCAGUGGCAGAAGUACAGCAUGCAGAAGGAGUGCAGGAUCAGCCAAUGGAGGAUGUGAGAGUUCCAGGUCAAGCUCAGGAAUGCGAGAUGCUGGUUGAGCAGAAAGAUGCAGAGCAAGCUCAAGUAUCUGAGCCUUUAAUAGCAGAAACAGUUUUUAGUUCUUCACAUGCCGUAGAUGAAAAAGCUUCAACAGGGACUCCUGAUUCUGAAAUGAUCAGAGAGACACAACAGGUGGAAGGAGCUCCAGCUCAUCUGGGAGAAACAAAAGAUUUAGAAACAGCUGCUCUUCUUGAGACUGUUGCAGAGGUGAAAGAUGCAGAAGCAGUUGUGGGGUUGGAGGCAGAAACAAAAGAUUUGGAAGCAGCAGAAGUACCUGAGGCCAUUGCAGAAGCAGUUCCAGCACAUGUGUUAGAGGCAAGCCAGUCAGAAGUCACCCCACAGACUGAGGCUGUCAGAGAAGCAACUCCAGAGCAGGAGUCGGAGAAAAGGGAUUCAGAAACCUCUGAAGUGCAGCCUGAUGUGGCAGCACGAAUGAGAGAGACUCUGAUGAGACUUGAGAAAGUUGAAAAAAGUAGCCAUAGAACCAGUGAUAAAAAACAUGAUGCAAAGAAACAAAAAAGAAGUCGUUCCAAGUCUCAGUCCAGGUCUAGGAAGCGGAAGAAAAAAUCAAGGUCGCGUUCUACUUCCAGGCGGUUGACAUCUAAAAGAGGACGUUCUAGGAGUAGAAACUACUCAGUUUCCAGAAAAAAGCAUUCCAAAUCCAGAUCACGAUCUGUGGAGAAGAGAGAGAGAAGAUUAUCUUCCCGGAGGUCCAGGCGCAGACGUUCUAGGUCGUCUGAUCGUUACAGGUCUAAAUCCAGAUCAGCAGAAAAGAGAUUGUCCUCCGGGAGGUCCAGGCGCAGACGUUCCAGAUCUUCUGACCGCUACAGAUCUAAGUCCGGGUCAGUGGAUAAGCGACUGUCCUCCCGAAGGUCCAGACGCAGACGUUCCAGGUCCUCUGACCGCUACAGAUCCAAGUCUGGAUCAGUGGAAAAGCGAUUGUCUUCUCGAAGGUCUGGGCGCAGACGUUCCAGGUCUUCUGACCGCUACAGAUCCAAGUCUAGGUCAGUGGAUAAGCGACUGUCCUCUCGAAGGUCUGGACGCAGGCGUUCCAGGUCCUCUGACCGCUACAGAUCCAAGUCUGGGUCCGUGGAUAAGCGACUGUCCUCCCGAAGGUCUGGACGCAGACGUUCCAGGUCCUCUGACCGCUACAGAUCCAAGUCUAGGUCAGUGGAUAAGCGACUGUCCUCUCGAAGGUCUGGACGCAGACAUUCCAGGUCAUCUGAGCGCUACAGGUCUAAAUCGCUAUCAGUAGAUAAGAGGGGGAGCAGGUUGUCCUCCUGGAGAUCCCGCCGCAGACGUUCCAGGUCCUCUGACCGUUCUAAGUCCAGAUCCAGGUCUUCAGAGAAGAGAGGAGGCAAAGAAUACUCAUGGAGGUUCAGAAAUAGAUCUGUUUCCUCUGAUCGCUCAAAAUCUAGGUCGAGAUCUGUUGAAAAGAGAGGUCGGAAGUCAUCUCUGCGAAGGUCUAAACGUCGGCGCUCAAAGUCCUCUGACCGUUACAAGUCCAGAUCCCGAUCAGCAGAAAAAAGAGAUCGAAAGCAGUCAUCACGGAAGUCUAAACGUCAGCGCUCAAAGUCCUCUGACCGUUACAAGUCCAGAUCCAAGUCAGUGGAAAAAAAGAAGGAGUCCUCAAGAAAAUCCAAGCGUCGCCGCUCGAAAUCCUCUGACCGUUACAAGUCUAGAUCUAGGUCUGUAGAAAAAAAGCGCAAGGAAUCUUCAAAAAAAUCCAAACGGAAACGUUCCAAAUCCUCUGAUAGUGUUAAGUCAAGGUCCAAAUCUGUAGAAAAAAGAGACAGUAAGUUAUCUUCAGUAAAGGGCAGUAGCAAGCGUAUGGAGUCUUCUGAACUUCAGGAAUCAACCAAAUGUCCUGAAACAGUAGAUGUUCCUGAACCUCCUUCUGGAAGUGAAGGCACCUCUUCCAAAUCCUCUAAUGGUCCCAUGUCAGUAACUUUGUCUGCUGAAGGACUUAAUGGUCCAGAGCUGCCACCGGCAUCUGAAAGUGGACUUCCCAAACCUUCUGAUAGUCUUGAGCAAAACUCCUCACCUGCAGAAAAUACAGUGGGUCUGCAGCCUUCUGUGAUGUCUGAAUUUGACCCAGAUGACCACGUACCAAAAUGCACACCUGUGGAAGAAUCACAAGUUUCAGUGCUUUCCAUGACAUCUGAAAAUGGAUCAACUGACAAAGCAGUGGUUCUGGAGUCUUCAUCACUACCUGAACUUGCAUACUCUACACCCACAUCAGUAUCCUUAUCUGUAGAAAAAGAAGGCGAUGCAGAGACCCCUUCAGUAACAGAAUUUCAGCUUUCUGCGUCUGCAUCCCAUGAUGAUGAGUUAAGGUCUACCUCUCUCAAAGAAACAGAGGGUCCAGAGCCUCAUCUGACACUUGAAAGUGGAUGCUCUGAAUCUUCUGAUGAUUACAAGACAAUUUCCAUGUCCUCUGGAAAAAACGAGAUUCAGGAGUCUUCUCUGAUGUCUGACAGUGUACUCUCUGACUUGUCUGAUGGUCAUGAAUUGAGACAUACCCCUGUUGAAAAAGCAGAGCUUCAGAAUUUUUUGGAAGUUCCUGAAAGUGUAUCUUCCAAUUUGGCUGGCAGCCCUCAGUCACUAUCUUUUGAAACAGCAGAGGCUCAAAAAUCUUUUUUAGCACCUCAGGUUCCAUGUUCUGUUUUCCCUGAGUCAGCCUCCUUGCCUAUUGAAACAGGACAGAUGCAGGAGCGUUCUCUGGCUUCUGAGAGUGGAUGCUUCAAAUCUCUUGAUGGGCAUGGAUCAGGAUCCUGCGUUGCUGCACGAAUUCCACUGAUUUCUGAAGAUGGGUCCUUCACGUCACCUGAUGAAAAUGAAGAAAUAUCCUUAUCUGUUGAAAAGAUCAAGGCUUCAGCUGUUUCCCUGACAUCUGAGUGUGGUCCAGUUGAGAUCUCGGAUGUUGUACUGACAGCUGUAGGACAAAGCUGCAAGUCUUCUGAAGUUCUAGACUGCGUAUCAUCCGUUGACAAGGAUAUAGACGGUCCAACACUUUCACAGGUACUUCGCUGCUCUGAAUCUUCUGAAAUGCAUGAAUUGAGAUACCUGCCUGAUGGAAAAAUAGAGAGUACAGGAUCUUUCUUGAUCUCUAAAAGUGGAAUUCCUGUGGGCCAUGAUGGCCAUAAAGCAAACCACAAUUUCCUGGAGAAAACAGAAGGUGCAGACCUAUUGUUGGCAUCUGAGAUUAGGCAUUCUCUCUUCCCUGAAGGCUAUAAAUUGACAUCCACUCCAGUUGAAAAAACAGAGAUACAGAAAUCUCCCCUCCCCCUGGAAAGUGAGUUCUCCAAUUCUGUUAAUGUGUGUGAAUCAGUAAGCACACCUAAUGAAAAACUGCAGGCCCCAGUGACUUCUGUGACAUCUGAAGGUGGGCUCUUCCUGUUGAGUGAUAGUCAUGAAUUGAGACCUUUCUCUGCUGAAAACGCAGAGGUGCAAAAGUCACCUAGAGUGGAAUGUAUUGCAUCCACUGAUGGCUACAGCGUGAGAUCUUCAUAUGAUGAAGAAAUACAAGUGCAAGAGCCGUCUCUGAUACUGGAAGGCAGAUGUGCUGUUUCCUCCGAUGGUCAUGAUUUGACAUUCACGGCUUCUGAAAAAGCUGAGGUAGAGGAACCCUCUCAAAUGUCUGAAAAUGAGUACACAACAGCGCUUGAUGGUCCAGAAUUGACAUCAACCCCUACUGAAAGGGCAGAGAUGCGGGAACUUUAUCACACGCCUGAAGAAAACUGUUCAGUGUCCAUUGAAAGCCAAAAGUUUCAUUCAGCUCUUGCUGAACAGAUAGAAAUGCAAGAGCCUGGUCUGAUGCCUGAAAAUGAACAUACUGUAUAUUGGAAGGCCCAGGAGUUGAGAUAUAGCUCACCUGAAAAGGUAGAGAUGCAGGAGGCUUCUGUAGUAGCUGCCAAUGAAUAUGCUGUGUCUUCUGAAUUGCCAUCUUCCCUUGCUGAAAAAGCAGAGGUACAGGAGUGUUCUCUGCUGUCUGAAAAUGAAUAUACUGUAUCUCCUGAGAUCCAGGACACAUCAGCCAGUCCUGAAAAAGAGGUGCAGGAACCUUCUCUGACAUCAGACAGUCAAUAUACUAUCGUGCCUGAAGACCAAGGAUUACAAUCUACGCUUGCUGAAAGAACACUGGUGCAGGAGCCCUCUCUAAUAGUGGACAGUCAAUAUGCUGCAUCCCCCGAAGGGCAAGAAUUGCUUUCUGCUCAUGCUGAAAAAGCAGAGGUGCAGGACUCUUCUUUGUUGUCUGAAAAUGAGUAUGUUGUAUCCCCUGAAGGCCAUGAUAUGAGACCCAGUCCUGUUGGAAAAGAAGAAAUGGAGGAACAUUCUGAAACAUCAGAAAGUGAAAGUUCAAUGUCCACAGAUAGCCAGGAGCUGCAGUCUACUGCUGCUGGAAAAACAGAGGUGCAGGAGUUGUCUUUGAUGUCUGAAGGUGAAUGUGCCAUGUCCCCUCAAGGUCAGGGACUGCAGUCCAGUCCUACUGAAGAGGCUGAAAAUGAGUGUACUCUGUCUCCUGAAGAAUAUGAAUCGAGAUUGACUCAUGCUGAGAAAAUAGAGGGUAUGGAUUCUUCUUUGACAUCUGAAAAUGACCAUGUUAUAUCUUUUGAGAGCCAGGAGGCAAGAUUCACCCCCGUUCAAAGAGUAGAUGCUCAGGAACUGUCUCCAAUACCUGAAAUUGAACAUGAAGCAUCCCCUGAUGGACAUGAGUUGGGAUUCCACACUGAACCUUUGAUGCUAAACAAUAGAGCCUCCAUGUCCCCUGAUCACAGUGAUAUGAAAUCCAUCCCUGUUGAAAAUAUAGAUGAUGCAGUGCCUGAGAGUGCACGUUCCAUGUCCCCUGAUUGCUACAGCGUGAAAUCUGGCCCUGGUGAAGAAGCAGGAGAUGUAGAGCCUUCUCUGAUACCCGAACGUAGACAUUCCACAUCCUCAUAUCAGGAAAGUCAUGAGCCAAAAUCACCCAUGGAGGAAGAGGGUCCAGAGCCCUCUUUGACUUCUGAACGUAGGCACUCCACAUCCCCUGAUGACCAUGAGUCAAGAUCUAGUGUUGGUGAAGAAGCAGAGUACCUGGAGCAGCCUUUGACAACAGAACGUAGGAGCUCUGUGUCUUCUGAUGAACAUGAGUCAAGGUCUACCACUGGGGAAGAGGUAGAGGAUGCAGAACCCUCCUUGACAGCUGAACGAAGAGACUCUACAUCCUCUGAUGAACAUGAGUCAAGAUCUGCCACUGGAGAGGAUGUAGAAGAUAGGGAACCUUCUUUGACAGGUGAACGUAGACAUUCGACAUCCUCUGAUGAUCGUGAGUCAAGAUCUACAACUGGUGAAGAAAUGGAGGAUUUGGAACCUUCUCUGACAGCUGAACAUAGGCGCUCUGUAUCUCCUGAUGGACGUGAGUCAAGGUCAAGCACUGGUGAAGAAGCAGAGGACCAGGAGCUUUCUUUGACAGCUGAACGGAGACACUCCACAUCCUCAGAUGAACAUGAGUCGAGGUCUACUGCUGGUGAGGAUGCGGAGGAUGUGGAACCCUCCUUGACAGCUGAACGAAGAGAUUCCACAUCAUCUGAUGAUCGUGAGUCAAGGUCUACUGCUGGUGAAGAAGCAGAGGAUAUGGAGCAGUCCUUGACAACUGAACACAGACGUUCCACAUCCCCUGAUGGGCGUGAAUCACGGUCUACCACCGGUGAAGAAGGAGAUGAUAUGGAGCCUUCUUCGACAGCUGAAAGAAGAGACUCCACAUCAUCAGAUGAGCAUGAGUCAAGGUCUAGCACUGGUGAAGAGGGUGAGGAUGCUGAAACCUCUGUGGGAGAUGAAGAUAAACAGGGAGAUGAAGAUAAGCUUGAGAGAUUGGAGGAGGAACCUGACAGUAGGCGUUCUGAGUCUUCGGAACGUGAAAAAUCUAGAUCCAAAUCUGUUGAUAAAAUAUCUGACAAAGGCUCUUCAAGGAGAUCUAUAAGCAGACACUCAAGAUCUCCUACUCGCCAAAAGAGUCGGUCCACAUCUGUUGAAAAAGGAGCAGACAAAGAGUCUUCGUGGAGAUCUAGACAUAGACGUUCUAGAUCCACAUCUGUUGAAAAAACAGCAGACAAGGAAUCUUCACAGAGGUCUAGACAUAGACGCUCCAGGUCCGCCGCUCGCCAAAGGAGUCGAUCAGCAUCUGUUGAAAAAGCAGCAGACAAAGAGUCAAGGAGGUCUAGACGUAGACGUUCCAGGUCCACUGCUCACCAAAGGAGUCGUUCUAAAUCUGUUGAAAAAGCAGCAGACAAAGAAUCACGGAGAUCUAGAAGCAGACGCUCCAGGUCUUCUCAGCGCAGAUCCCAGAGGUAUGAUACCAGAAGGAAUCGCUCCAGAUCAGCAACACGGAGAAGAGCAUCAAGAUCAAAAUCUAAUCGUCGCUCUCGCUCUAGCUCCUUGUCACGUUCAAGGCACAGAAGGAGGAGUAGGUCAAGGUCGGCAUCAAGAAGGCGGCGUUCUUUAUCAAGAGACAGGCGUAAGAGAUCGCAGAGAAAUAGAUCAAGAUCCACUGACAGAAGAAGAAGAAGAUCAGAUUCGAGAGAUCGUAGAAUAUCACUCAGGCUACGGAGCAGGAGUCGAACACCUAUUCGUCAAAGGCGGUCAAGGUCACGAGGAAGAAGGCGGAGCUCUAGUAGGUCACCAAUUCGACUGCGUCGAUCAAGAUCUUCAGGGAGAAGAAGAUACAGCAGAUCACCUGACCGUCGUCGGUCAAGGUCAUCAGAAUUUUCAAGCAGGUCACCCAAACGUCUUACAGACUUGGACAAAGCCCAGCUACUUGAAAUAGCCAAAGCUAAUGCAGCUGCCAUGUGUGCUAAGUCUGGUGUUCCCUUACCACCAAGCCUGAUGCCUCUGUUAUCUCAAAAGAAAGACGACAAAGCCAAUCAGAAGUCAUCAAGAGAUACACUAAAGGAGCUCACUGAGAAAUGCAAGAAGAUUGCUCAAAGCACAGAUGAUGUGAUAGUGAAUAAACCUCAUGUUUCUGAUGAAGAGGAGGAAGAACGUCCUUUCUAUCAUCAUCCUUUUAAGCUCAGUGAACCCAAACCCAUUUUUUUCAAUUUAAGUACUCCGAGCAUAAAACCAGCACCACCACCACAACCAAAAAAUCAGGUCAGCUUGUCAAAGGAAUUUCCUGUUUCAUCUGGGUCUCAGCAUAGAAAAAAAGAAGCAGAUAGUGUUUAUGGAGAAUGGGUUCCAGUUGAAAAAGGCAAAGAAGAUAGCAAGGAUGAUGUUUUCCCCAAACCAGCCAUUGAGUGUGUGGACAUAACUACAGCUAUGAAUGAUCGAGCAAUUGCUCAGAAAAGGCUUAAUGAGAACACUUUUGAUUUAGAGGCCAUGUGCAUGUUAAAUCGCGCACAAGAGCAGAUUGACGCCUGGGCCCAGUCAAACUCCAUACCUGGCCAGUUCACAGGAAGUACUGGAGCACAGAUACUGUCCUCAGAUGAGCUAACCAACAGUGGCCCCCAAGCAUGGAUUAGAAAGGGUCAAAUCCUUGUAGCUGCCUUCUUGCCACGGUCAAUGCCAGCCCUACUAUUCACAACACUGCGGCCAUCGAGGCCUAGGAUCAGUUCUUAAGAGCAGCCCCUGUAACUGGAGGAAUGGGAGCUCAACUGAUGAGAAAAAUGGGCUGGAGAGAAGGAGAAGGGCUUGGAAAAAACAAAGAAGGCAGUGUUGAGCCUAUAAUGGUCGAUUUUAAGACAGAUCGAAAAGGGCUUGUUGCUGUGGGAGAGAAGGCACAAAAGAGAUCUGGACAUUAUGUUGUAAUGAAGGAUCUUUCAGGUAAACAUCCAGUUUCUGCAUUGAUGGAGAUUUGUAACAAAAGAAGAUGGACACCACCUGAGUUUGUGUUGGUGGAUGAUAGUGGGCCUGACCAUCGCAAACAUUUUAUCUUUAAGGUGAGAGUCAAUGGAAAUGAAUACAGGCCUACAUUUGCCAGCCUUAACAAGAAGCAUGCUAAAGCCACAGCAGCAACUGCGGCUCUCCAGGCGAUGGGACUUGUACCAAAGGAAAGCAUGGUUAAUACCACCAUGUUUAGGAGUGCCUCACACCGCUAGAUAUUGUUUUUUAUAUUGACAUUAUUUCAGAUAAUUUUACUCUGCACAAAAAUGGUAUUUGCCCUUUCAUGUUGUAAAUACAUUGGCAAUUUCCACGUUGUAAAAACUGUACAGACACCUUCAGGUUUUUCUUUUGUACCAUCAAAAUGUAUUUAAAUCAUACUUAGUUUUUGGUAUGUUUAUAUUGUUUACAUUAGUGAUGUAAUUAUUUCUUAAAAGACUAAAUCAGACGACAGACUCUGGAGGCAUCAGUAAUCUAAACCCUCGUUUUAAAACUCAUGCAGUUUCUCUUCAGUACGGAAUGUUAACACUUUAAUACUGUUUUGUACUAUGCUGCAGUUUUCCCCAGUCUCGGUGAAGCUCCUCUUGCCCUUUUGCCAACAGCUGGUGAAAGGCAGAGGUGCUGAUUACCCUGGCAUGUACUGCUGGACAGAUACUGGGCCAGUGCUGGAACCCCUGUGAGAAGGUGCACGAUGGCAGCCCUGUUGUACAGCGUUAACACUGCACCUUCUCUUGGAAUUUUGCUUAGGGGUUUAACUUGGUGGUGCACUGCAACUGGCCACACAGCCCAUACAGUUUUAGGACAUACACACGAUUAGGCAAAAGACUUGCUUCCAAAAGGGAUGGCAGAAGGGGCCAGCAAUGGAACCGAUGAGACUUGCAAUGUAAAGGUGACCCUCCCUGCAUGUUCUGAGAAGGGAGAUGAUGGAAUUGUCUAUUCCAAACAAAUUAGCACACUGCCUGAUGUUGAUUGUACGAAUUUGUGGUUAAUGUGAAUUUUAAACUCUUAACAAAUCUACAACUGGAUCUGGGGGGGAGGGAGGGGAUAGAAUGAUGCUUAAAUUGUUGUACCCAACUUGGUCAAUAAAGCAGCACAAGUUCAUAAUCUUAAUCACUGGUCAGUAAACAGUAAUUAAAAUGUAUGCCAAAAGAACUUUUUUAAGAAAUGCACCGUAUAAAAGUAUGUUUUAUGACGAUUAUUAGCAGCUGUUAGGGUUGCAGAAUAAUUUCUGUUAAUUUUUGGUUGGUCUAUUUUACCAAAUUAACUCCUUGAGCUUCAAUUUUCCCUUAAUAGAGUACUCUGCCCUCAAGGAGACAGCCUGAUCCAAAGUUUUGGCAGUUUGACAAGGGAGAGGAUGUAGAAAGCUUUUCCUUUUUUAAAUUUUUUUUUAUUUAAGAAGUAUUAGUACUUUAGCAAUGUGCACUUUGAAUUGGAAAGGGCAUUAUAUACCACUUGCCAGAUUUGUCUGAAUUACAAGCAGAUCACCAGGGUUUAUGGACUCCAGUAGUUCAGGUGCUUAUUUCAGAGAAGUCUUUUUGUGGUCUCUCUGUUUUACCUACUGAAAAGAGCUUUGCCUGGGACAGGAGCAAAACAGUUUGCAUGCAGUAAAGCUGUGCUCAGGCCUAGUGAAUGACCCUUGCAAUGGAUGUAGGAAUGUGGAGGUGAAGAGUUGCUAGUACUUCUUACACAAAGGGAGGUGACCUGUGUGUAUUCUGCUAACUGUGAUGGAAUAAGUUGUCAUUCUUUGCCCUAAAGGGACGAGGAUCAGUGUCUCAUAUUGUGUACAGCAGACCGAUGGUAUUUGGUUCUUCACCACACACUUGUGAGAAAUAAAGCCCCUUUACUAGUCUGUCAAAGUGUUACAGAAAUGCUGAAGUUAAUUUGAAUUUUCUUGGAUGUAGCCGUCUUCAAACAAUUUUCCAUUUGGCUUUUUGCCUUCAGUCUCUGACUAAAUAUUUGAAGAUCUCCUUGCCUCAUUUGCUGAACUAGUAUGGAAGUGUGUAUGUAAAGAAAAGUAAAUCUAAUGGUACAGCAAUGGAAAGAUCUGGUCUGGGAGAAAUUGGUGUUGUAUCUGUCUUAGCUGAAGUCUGGCUUUUUGAUGUACAACUGAAGAUAAUUGACUUGGGAUGUGGGAGCAGCUCCUAAGCAGAUGUUUGUUUAAAAAUCUGGUUUGCUAGCACUAAGGCAUGGGAGAUGUUGAUCAUUCUGUUUAGUCUAUGGUGUCCAUGUAAGCACUGGUUUCAUAGCUGUAUGGUAUGAAAACGGGGAACAUACCAACUCUUGUUCUGUUCUUUUUAUUUUUUUGCUCUGUAUUUCUCGUGUAAUGUAAAGACACAUGUUCUCUCACAGCAGCAAGAAGAAAAUUAAGUCCCACUGAAAAUUCCAUUUAAAAGUAACUAUUUAGGCAUGGAUUUCAUGCCUUACAGGAUGUGGUACUGUGUGCAGAUUUAACCUUUGGUCUUAAAGAAGACUUGAAAAAAAAAAUUAAGGUCUGUCAUACCCUAAUUAUGACACUUCUUGAUUUUGAGGUUUCUGUUUCAGUUUCAUUCCUUGUUCUUUAGAAUGAUAUAUGAAUAUAAAGCUAGUGCAGCAAUGUGCUUCUGUUAAAUUUGUAAAUUUGAAUUGGUUUGAGUGUGCUUUGCAUGCAGGAAUAGAUAAGUAGUGAUACAUUAAAAAGAACAACUAGGAAAC